This 2904-nucleotide ribosomal RNA is filed under the name Escherichia coli DEC8A. RNAcentral describes it as "bacterial LSU rRNA". It matches the Rfam family "Bacterial large subunit ribosomal RNA". Lineage: Bacteria; Pseudomonadati; Pseudomonadota; Gammaproteobacteria; Enterobacterales; Enterobacteriaceae. The record is from RNAcentral.
UUAAGCGACUAAGCGUACACGGUGGAUGCCCUGGCAGUCAGAGGCGAUGAAGGACGUGCUAAUCUGCGAUAAGCGUCGGUAAGGUGAUAUGAACCGUUAUAACCGGCGAUUUCCGAAUGGGGAAACCCAGUGUGAUUCGUCACACUAUCAUUAACUGAAUCCAUAGGUUAAUGAGGCGAACCGGGGGAACUGAAACAUCUAAGUACCCCGAGGAAAAGAAAUCAACCGAGAUUCCCCCAGUAGCGGCGAGCGAACGGGGAGGAGCCCAGAGCCUGAAUCAGUGUGUGUGUUAGUGGAAGCGUCUGGAAAGGCGCGCGAUACAGGGUGACAGCCCCGUACACAAAAAUGCACAUGCUGUGAGCUCGAUGAGUAGGGCGGGACACGUGGUAUCCUGUCUGAAUAUGGGGGGACCAUCCUCCAAGGCUAAAUACUCCUGACUGACCGAUAGUGAACCAGUACCGUGAGGGAAAGGCGAAAAGAACCCCGGCGAGGGGAGUGAAAAAGAACCUGAAACCGUGUACGUACAAGCAGUGGGAGCACAGAGCAAUCUGUGUGACUGCGUACCUUUUGUAUAAUGGGUCAGCGACUUAUAUUCUGUAGCAAGGUUAACCGAAUAGGGGAGCCGAAGGGAAACCGAGUCUUAACUGGGCGUUAAGUUGCAGGGUAUAGACCCGAAACCCGGUGAUCUAGCCAUGGGCAGGUUGAAGGUUGGGUAACACUAACUGGAGGACCGAACCGACUAAUGUUGAAAAAUUAGCGGAUGACUUGUGGCUGGGGGUGAAAGGCCAAUCAAACCGGGAGAUAGCUGGUUCUCCCCGAAAGCUAUUUAGGUAGCGCCUCGUGAAUUCAUCUCCGGGGGUAGAGCACUGUUUCGGCAAGGGGGUCAUCCCGACUUACCAACCCGAUGCAAACUGCGAAUACCGGAGAAUGUUAUCACGGGAGACACACGGCGGGUGCUAACGUCCGUCGUGAAGAGGGAAACAACCCAGACCGCCAGCUAAGGUCCCAAAGUCAUGGUUAAGUGGGAAACGAUGUGGGAAGGCCCAGACAGCCAGGAUGUUGGCUUAGAAGCAGCCAUCAUUUAAAGAAAGCGUAAUAGCUCACUGGUCGAGUCGGCCUGCGCGGAAGAUGUAACGGGGCUAAACCAUGCACCGAAGCUGCGGCAGCGACGCUGAUGCGUUGUUGGGUAGGGGAGCGUUCUGUAAGCCUGUGAAGGUGUGCUGUGAGGCAUGCUGGAGGUAUCAGAAGUGCGAAUGCUGACAUAAGUAACGAUAAAGCGGGUGAAAAGCCCGCUCGCCGGAAGACCAAGGGUUCCUGUCCAACGUUAAUCGGGGCAGGGUGAGUCGACCCCUAAGGCGAGGCCGAAAGGCGUAGUCGAUGGGAAACAGGUUAAUAUUCCUGUACUUGGUGUUACUGCGAAGGGGGGACGGAGAAGGCUAUGUUGGCCGGGCGACGGUUGUCCCGGUUUAAGCGUGUAGGCUGGUUUUCCAGGCAAAUCCGGAAAACUAAGGCUGAGGCGUGAUGACGAGGCACUACGGUGCUGAAGCAACAAAUGCCCUGCUUCCAGGAAAAGCCUCUAAGCAUCAGGUAACAUCAAAUCGUACCCCAAACCGACACAGGUGGUCAGGUAGAGAAUACCAAGGCGCUUGAGAGAACUCGGGUGAAGGAACUAGGCAAAAUGGUGCCGUAACUUCGGGAGAAGGCACGCUGAUAUGUAGGUGAAGUCCCUCGCGGAUGGAGCUGAAAUCAGUCGAAGAUACCAGCUGGCUGCAACUGUUUAUUAAAAACACAGCACUGUGCAAACACGAAAGUGGACGUAUACGGUGUGACGCCUGCCCGGUGCCGGAAGGUUAAUUGAUGGGGUCAGCGCAAGCGAAGCUCUUGAUCGAAGCCCCGGUAAACGGCGGCCGUAACUAUAACGGUCCUAAGGUAGCGAAAUUCCUUGUCGGGUAAGUUCCGACCUGCACGAAUGGCGUAAUGAUGGCCAGGCUGUCUCCACCCGAGACUCAGUGAAAUUGAACUCGCUGUGAAGAUGCAGUGUACCCGCGGCAAGACGGAAAGACCCCGUGAACCUUUACUAUAGCUUGACACUGAACAUUGAGCCUUGAUGUGUAGGAUAGGUGGGAGGCUUUGAAGUGUGGACGCCAGUCUGCAUGGAGCCGACCUUGAAAUACCACCCUUUAAUGUUUGAUGUUCUAACGUUGACCCGUAAUCCGGGUUGCGGACAGUGUCUGGUGGGUAGUUUGACUGGGGCGGUCUCCUCCUAAAGAGUAACGGAGGAGCACGAAGGUUGGCUAAUCCUGGUCGGACAUCAGGAGGUUAGUGCAAUGGCAUAAGCCAGCUUGACUGCGAGCGUGACGGCGCGAGCAGGUGCGAAAGCAGGUCAUAGUGAUCCGGUGGUUCUGAAUGGAAGGGCCAUCGCUCAACGGAUAAAAGGUACUCCGGGGAUAACAGGCUGAUACCGCCCAAGAGUUCAUAUCGACGGCGGUGUUUGGCACCUCGAUGUCGGCUCAUCACAUCCUGGGGCUGAAGUAGGUCCCAAGGGUAUGGCUGUUCGCCAUUUAAAGUGGUACGCGAGCUGGGUUUAGAACGUCGUGAGACAGUUCGGUCCCUAUCUGCCGUGGGCGCUGGAGAACUGAGGGGGGCUGCUCCUAGUACGAGAGGACCGGAGUGGACGCAUCACUGGUGUUCGGGUUGUCAUGCCAAUGGCACUGCCCGGUAGCUAAAUGCGGAAGAGAUAAGUGCUGAAAGCAUCUAAGCACGAAACUUGCCCCGAGAUGAGUUCUCCCUGACUCCUUGAGAGUCCUGAAGGAACGUUGAAGACGACGACGUUGAUAGGCCGGGUGUGUAAGCGCAGCGAUGCGUUGAGCUAACCGGUACUAAUGAACCGUGAGGCUUAACCUU